This 433-nucleotide ribosomal RNA is filed under the name uncultured bacterium. Its description in RNAcentral is "partial 16S ribosomal RNA". It matches the Rfam family "Bacterial small subunit ribosomal RNA", at positions 29 to 507 of the family's 1533-position model. The record is from RNAcentral.
AACGAACGCUGGCGGCAUGCCUAACACAUGCAAGUCGAACGACACCUUCGGGUCUAGUGGCGCACGGGUGCGUAACGCGUGGGAACCUGCCUUUAGGUUCGGAAUAACUCAUAGAAAUUUGAGCUAAUACCGGAUGAUUUCUUCUGACCAAAGAUUUAUCGCCUUUGGAUGGGCCCGCGUUGUAUUAGCUUGUUGGUGGGGUAAAGGCCUACCAAGGCGACGAUCCAUAGCUGGUCUGAGAGGAUGAUCAGCCACACUGAGACUGAGAAACGGCCCAGACUCCUACGGGAGGGAGCAGUGGGGAAUAUAGGAAAACGGGCGAAAGGCUGAUCCAGCAAGGCCGGGUGAGUGAUGAAGGCCUGAGAGUAGUAAAGCUCUUUUAACCGAGAUGGUAAUGACGGUAUCGGGAGAAUAAGCACCGGCUAACUCCGUG